UACGUAGGGCGCAAGCGUUGUCCGGAAUUAUUGGGCGUAAAGAGCUCGUAGGCGGUUUGUCACGUCGGCUGUGAAAACCCGAGGCUCAACCUCGGGCCUGCAGUCGAUACGGGCAGACUAGAGUGCUGUAGGGGAGACUGGAAUUCCUGGUGUAGCGGUGAAAUGCGCAGAUAUCAGGAGGAACACCGGUGGCGAAGGCGGUUCUCUGGGACGGUACUGACGCUGAGACGCGAAAGCGUGGGGAGCGAACAGG
RNAcentral lists this ribosomal RNA (253 nucleotides) under uncultured bacterium. Its description in RNAcentral is "partial 16S ribosomal RNA". It matches the Rfam family "Bacterial small subunit ribosomal RNA", at positions 524 to 776 of the family's 1533-position model. The record is from RNAcentral.